RNAcentral lists this ribosomal RNA (373 nucleotides) under uncultured bacterium. RNAcentral describes it as "bacterial SSU rRNA". It matches the Rfam family "Bacterial small subunit ribosomal RNA", at positions 521 to 896 of the family's 1533-position model. The record is from RNAcentral.
UAAUACGGAGGGUGCAAGCGUUAUCCGGAUUCACUGGGUUUAAAGGGUGCGUAGGUGGGUUGGUAAGUCCGUGGUGAAAUCCCUGAGCUUAACUCAGGAACUGCCGUGGAUACUAUCAAUCUUGAAUACUGUGGAGGUAAGCGGAAUAUGUCAUGUAGCGGUGAAAUGCUUAGAUAUGACAUAGAACACCAAUUGCGAAGGCAGCUUGCUACACGGUUAUUGACACUGAGGCACGAAAGCGUGGGGAUCAAACAGGAUUAGAUACCCUGGUAGUCCACGCCCUAAACGAUGGAUACUCGACAUCAGCGAUACACUGUUGGUGUCUGAGCGAAAGCAUUAAGUAUCCCACCUGGGAAGUACGACCGCAAGGUUG